UACGAAGGGUGCAAGCGUUACUCGGAAUUACUGGGCGUAAAGCGUGCGUAGGUGGUUUGUUAAGUCUGAUGUGAAAGCCCUGGGCUCAACCUGGGAAUUGCAUUGGAUACUGGCAGGCUAGAGUGCGGUAGAGGAUGGCGGAAUUCCCGGUGUAGCAGUGAAAUGCGUAGAGAUCGGGAGGAACACCUGAGAUGUAGAUGGCUUACUGGACCGUAACUGACGCUGAGGCACGAAAGCGUGGGUAGCAAACAGG
This 253-nucleotide ribosomal RNA is filed under the name uncultured bacterium. RNAcentral describes it as "partial 16S ribosomal RNA". It matches the Rfam family "Bacterial small subunit ribosomal RNA", at positions 524 to 776 of the family's 1533-position model. The record is from RNAcentral.